GCGGCUAUAGCUCAGUCGGUUAGAGCGCAAGAUUGUGGAUCUUGAGGUCGAGGGUUCGAGACCCUCUAGCCGCCCCA
RNAcentral lists this transfer RNA (77 nucleotides) under Pyrinomonadaceae bacterium. Its description in RNAcentral is "tRNA-His". It matches the Rfam family "tRNA". From Rfam's summary of the family: Transfer RNA (tRNA) molecules are approximately 80 nucleotides in length. Their secondary structure includes four short double-helical elements and three loops (D, anti-codon, and T loops). Lineage: Bacteria; Pseudomonadati; Acidobacteriota; Blastocatellia; Blastocatellales; Pyrinomonadaceae. The record is from RNAcentral.